GACGGGGGCCCGGCACAAGCGGUGGAGCAUGUGGUUUAAUUACGAUGAUACGCGAGGAACCUUACCUGGGCUCAAAUGUAUGUUGACGUAUUCUGAAAGGGAUACUUCUUCGGACAAUAUACAAGGUGCUGCAUGGUUGUCGUCAGCUCGUGCCGUGAGGUGUCGGGUUAAGUCCCAUAACGAGCGCAACCCCUAUCAUUAGUUGCCAUCAGGUCAAGCUGGGGACUCUAAUGAAACUGCCUACGCAAGUAGUGAGGAAGGUGGGGAUGACGUCAAAUCAGCACGGCCCUUACGUCCAGGGCUACACACGUGCUACAAUGGCCGAUACAGAGGGCAGCUACCUGGUGACAGGAUGCAAAUCUCCAAAGUCGGUCUCAGUUCGGAUCGGAGUCUGCAACCCGACUCCGUGAAGUUGGAUUCGCUAGUAAUCGCGCAUCAGCCAUGGCGCGGUGAAUACGUUCCCGGGCCUU
This 470-nucleotide ribosomal RNA is filed under the name uncultured Sphingobacteriales bacterium. RNAcentral's name for it is "bacterial SSU rRNA". It matches the Rfam family "Bacterial small subunit ribosomal RNA", at positions 912 to 1382 of the family's 1533-position model. The record is from RNAcentral. Lineage: Bacteria; Pseudomonadati; Bacteroidota; Sphingobacteriia; Sphingobacteriales.